CUCUGGUGCUAUACAUGCGAUUGUUUCUCCAGAUGUUGAAUUAUGGAGGAAAAGUUGACCUCAUCAGAGGCACGCCAUUCGACUGAGUGACCUAUCAGCUUGUACUUAGGGUCUUUACCUAGGUAGGCUAUCACGGGUAACGGGCGGUUACCGUCGGACUGCCGGAGAAGGCGCCUGAGAGAUAGCGACUAUAUCCACGGGUAGCAGCAGGCGCGAAACUUUCCCACUCGAGACUUUCGGAGGAGGUAAUGACCAGUUCCAUUGGUGCCUUUUGGUACUGUGGAUAGGGGUACGGUUUUCCACCGUACCGAAACCUAGCAGAGGGCCAGUCUGGUGCCAGCAGCUGCGGUAAUUCCAGCUCUGCGAGUUUGCUCCCAUAUUGUUGCAGUUAAAACGCCCGUAGUCUGAAUUGGCCAGCAAUGGUCGUACGUAUUUUUACGUUCACUGUGAACAAAUCAGGACGCUUAGAGUAUGGCCACAUGAAUGACUCAGCGCAGUAUGAAGUCUUUGUUUUCUUCCGAAAACAAGCUCAAUGAGAGCCAUCGGGGGUAGAUCUAUCUCAUGACGAGUGGUGGAAUACUUUGACUCAUGAGAGAGAAGCUGAGGCGAAGGCGUCUACCUAGAGGGUUUCUGUCGAUCAAGGGCGAGAGUAGGAGUAUCCAACAGGAUUAGAGACCCUGGUAGUUCCUACCUUAAACGAUGCCGACAGGAGUUUGUCAUUUGUUAAUGGCAGAAUCUUUGGAGAAAUCAUAGUUCUUGGGCUCUGGGGGAACUACGACCGCAAGGCUGAAACUUGAAGGAAUUGACGGAAGGGCACACCAGGGGUGGAGCCUGUGGCUUAAUUUGAAUCAACACGGGGAAACUUACCAGGACCAGAUGUUUUUUAUGACUGACAGGCUUCGGGUCUUUCAGGAUAUUGUUUUUGGUGGUGCAUGGCCCGUUGGUGGUGCGUGGGUUGACCUGUCUAGCGUUGAUUCAGCUAACGAGCGAGAUUAUCGCCAAUUAUUUACUUUGCCGAAGUCC
This 1023-nucleotide non-coding RNA is filed under the name Trichomonas vaginalis G3. RNAcentral's name for it is "Eukaryotic small subunit ribosomal RNA". It matches the Rfam family "Eukaryotic small subunit ribosomal RNA", at positions 208 to 1371 of the family's 1831-position model. The record is from Rfam by way of RNAcentral. Lineage: Eukaryota; Parabasalia; Trichomonadida; Trichomonadidae.